UAGGGANNCUUCGGCAAUGGACGGAAGUCUGACCGAGCAACGCCGCGUGAGUGAAGAAGGUUUUCGGAUCGUAAAGCUCUGUUGUAAGAGAAGAACGAGUGUGAGAGUGGAAAGUUCACACUGUGACGGUAUCUUACCAGAAAGGGACGGCUAACUACGUGCCAGCAGCCGCGGUAAUACGUAGGUCCCGAGCGUUGUCCGGAUUUAUUGGGCGUAAAGCGAGCGCAGGCGGUUAGAUAAGUCUGAAGUUAAAGGCUGUGGUUUAACCAUAGUACGCUUUGGAAACUGUUUAACUUGAGUGCAGAAGGGGAGAGUGGAAUUCCAUGUGUAGCGGUGAAAUGCGUAGAUAUAUGGAGGAACACCGGUGGCGAAAGCGGCUCUCUGGUCUGUAACUGACGCUGAGGCUCGAAAGCGUGGGGAGCAAACAGGAUUAGAUACCCUGGUAGUCCACGCCGUANCGAUGAGUGCUAGGUGUUGGGUCCUUUCCGGGACUCAGUGCCGCAGCUNACGCAUUAAGCACUCCGCCUGGGGAGUACGACCGCNAGGNUG
This 549-nucleotide ribosomal RNA is filed under the name uncultured bacterium. RNAcentral's name for it is "bacterial SSU rRNA". It matches the Rfam family "Bacterial small subunit ribosomal RNA", at positions 355 to 896 of the family's 1533-position model. The record is from RNAcentral.